This is a long non-coding RNA of Aphis gossypii (cotton aphid), 621 nucleotides long. RefSeq lists it as uncharacterized. The transcript has 4 exons. The record is from RefSeq and is a predicted model, not a curated record. NCBI's taxonomy places the organism in Eukaryota, Metazoa, Arthropoda, Insecta, Hemiptera, Aphididae.
UAAAACCAAGGAUCGAUAAAUAUCGUUCCCGGGCAACUUUUCACGUUUGUGUGUAAGAUUUCCAAAAUGUCCGAUGCUUUUACAACUAUGGAUCAACAAAUGUAAUAUUACAAAUCAAGUAGACUUAACACAACAUUAGAUAUGCUCAUUUAAUUUUGAGCCUAAAUGUUUUAAAUUCAAUACGAAGAGAAGGUUACUUCACCCGGAUGCUGUAUCAACUAUUUUUGAAAAAAAAUAUAUGAAAAAACAAUAUUUCCAAUCAAAAUUGUGUGAAGAAUGAAUAUGAUUCUGAAGCAGCUAAAAUAGAAUAAAUGAAAAAAUUCGACAAAUAUAUGAUGAAUAACUUUUGAAUGGAAAUGGAAUAAUUGCUCGUUUUUCGUAUGAUUAAAUAUAAAACGUAUAGUAGACGCAUGUAACUCAAAUCAUUCAUACUCGAAGGCAAAUGCUACUAUUUCUUUGGUUACGUUUAUGUUGAUAUAUAUCACUGUUAGCAAAGAUUUAUGUAAAUUGCCCAUUCUUGGCAUAUUAUAUAAACCAUUAUCAGUUAAGUAAACAUAAAAAACCUUUUUUUUUAAAUUUAAACAUUAAUUUUUAUUAUAUAAAUUUAAAUAUUAUAUGUAU